Oncorhynchus kisutch (coho salmon) is the source of this 840-nucleotide long non-coding RNA. RefSeq lists it as uncharacterized. The record is from RefSeq and is a predicted model, not a curated record. The transcript is spliced from 3 exons. Lineage: Eukaryota; Metazoa; Chordata; Actinopteri; Salmoniformes; Salmonidae.
AGCAAACCACAAUAUCCAGAAUUCAUAGCGAUUUCAGGACGUGGAGGACCGCCCGGUGGAGGAAUAGGGUAUCCAAUUGAUGGGUGAAAAAUCAAAAUGUCUGAUUUUGUAGCCAGCACUUUCAGCCAGUUCUAAACGGAACUGAAGUCACAACUGAUGGGGUUGCCAUGUCGUCAAACAUUGAAAAGUGAUGCUAAUCCAGUGAAUUUCCCCUUCACUUCAAAGAGGAAGGCAUCCGAUCAGCCGACAUCAGUGCAGCAGAAAAGAAGGCAAGAGUCCCACCCCAUCAACAUCUGCAGCGGCAAUAGCAUCAAGCUCAGGGAGGUUGGGAUAUGCAAACAAGGCAAAAAUAAGCACCCCCCUACUGUUAUUAUUAUUGACAUUAGGAGGGGGGGGGGGGGCUCCAGCUUUCAGGCUGGAAUAAGCUCAAGCUCAACAUCAUCUGACUUUGAAACAAGCCAGGACAGCCAAAGGAGACUUGGAGUACAUACAAAGCUUCUGCAAGAGGUCGAAGCAGUGGGUGGUGAAGAACACCGCCACCGCGCCAAAGCCUGCUAAACCAAAUGCCAUUACCCAACACAAGAAGAGGUUCACCAGCUGAAGAACAUUCAGGACCCUGCCUGGAACAUUCAGGCAACACAACGUACAUAUUCAGUUAGACUGAUGUUGUAGUAUAAUAUAGAAUGCCCAGUAUGCUCACAACUGCAUUGUGGUAAAGAUAUUUCUAGCUCUUGUACAUAUGUAUAUAAUGGUGUUAUAUAAUAUUUUUGAAUGUAUUAGAUUCAGUGAGUAAACAUUUCCAGGUGCAUCAGAAACCAAUAAAGUGUUGACUUCAACUUC